This 81-nucleotide transfer RNA is filed under the name Echinostoma caproni. It matches the Rfam family "tRNA". From Rfam's summary of the family: Transfer RNA (tRNA) molecules are approximately 80 nucleotides in length. Their secondary structure includes four short double-helical elements and three loops (D, anti-codon, and T loops). Lineage: Eukaryota; Metazoa; Platyhelminthes; Trematoda; Plagiorchiida; Echinostomatidae. The record is from Rfam by way of RNAcentral.
GGCCUGGUGGUUCAGCUGGUAGAGCAUGCGCGUACAAAGCGUGGCGGCGUCCAUGCCUGGGUUCGAAUCCCACCGAGGCUA